AACGAACGCUGGCGGCAGGCUUAACACAUGCAAGUCGAGCGCGUAGCAAUACGAGCGGCAGACGGGUGAGUAACGCGUGGGAAUCUACCUUUUGCUACGGAAUAACUCAGGGAAACUUGUGCUAAUACCGUAUGUGCCCUUUUGGGGAAAGAUUUAUCGGCAAGAGAUGAGCCCGCGUUGGAUUAGGUAGUUGGUGGGGUAAUGGCCUACCAAGCCGACGAUCCAUAGCUGGUCUGAGAGGAUGAUCAGCCACAUUGGGACUGAGACACGGCCCAAACUCCUACGGGAGGCAGCAGUGGGGAAUAUUGGACGAUGGGCGCAAGCCUGAUCCAGCCAUGCCGCGUGAGUGAUGAAGGCCCUAGGGUUGUAAAGCUCUUUCACCGGUGAAGAUAAUGACGGUAACCGGAGAAGAAGCCCCGGCUAACUUCGUGCCAGCCGCCGCCGUAA
RNAcentral lists this ribosomal RNA (447 nucleotides) under uncultured bacterium. RNAcentral describes it as "partial 16S ribosomal RNA". It matches the Rfam family "Bacterial small subunit ribosomal RNA", at positions 29 to 523 of the family's 1533-position model. The record is from RNAcentral.